RNAcentral lists this unclassified non-coding RNA (537 nucleotides) under uncultured Pelagibacterales bacterium. RNAcentral's name for it is "partial 16S-23S ribosomal RNA intergenic spacer". The stretch from base 418 to 537 matches the Rfam family "Bacterial large subunit ribosomal RNA", at positions 1 to 121 of the family's 2925-position model. Lineage: Bacteria; Pseudomonadati; Pseudomonadota; Alphaproteobacteria; Candidatus Pelagibacterales. The record is from RNAcentral.
CCUCCUUUCUAAGGAUGAAUGAAAGUAAAAUUUCAUUCUAAAUAAUAUACAUCGGUAAUGUUGACCGUCCUCAUUUCUCUUCUUAAAGUAAUGUUUCCUUCUUGUAGGGCCGGUAGCUCAGUUGGUUAGAGCACACCCUUGAUAAGGGUGGGGUCGAAAGUUCGAGUCUUUCUCGGCCCACCAUAUUUAACUGGGGGAUUAGCUCAGCUGGGAGAGCGCCUGAUUUGCAUUCAGGAGGUCAGCGGUUCGAUCCCGCUAUCCUCCACCAGGAAACAUUUAGCUAUAAAAAUUGUAAAUAAAAAUAAUUUAUAUCAAUAUCUAUAUCCGAACAUUAAAAGUUAUUAUUUAAUGUUCAAAAUAAAAAUUUGAUCACAACAUAGAUAAAUUUUCUGUUAAAAGAAUUUUUUUCUGUGCAUAAAUCAAGCGUUUAAGGGCGUGUAGUGGAUGCCUUGGCACUGAAAGCCGAUGAAGGACGUGAUAUACUGCGAUAAGUUUCGGGGAGCUGUAUGUAAGCUUUGAUCCGAAAAUUCCGAAUGG